RNAcentral lists this transfer RNA (46 nucleotides) under Geranium pusillum. Its description in RNAcentral is "partial tRNA-Gln". The record is from RNAcentral. Lineage: Eukaryota; Viridiplantae; Streptophyta; Magnoliopsida; Geraniales; Geraniaceae.
UUUUGGUCCCGGCGCUCAAACAAAGGUUCGAAUCCUUUCGUCCCAG